Molecule: non-coding RNA, 1453 nt
Organism: Rattus norvegicus (Norway rat)
Lineage: Eukaryota; Metazoa; Chordata; Mammalia; Rodentia; Muridae
Source: RefSeq, a predicted model, not a curated record
CUGCCAUGCUUCCUGCCUUUAUGAUAAUGGACCUGUAAGGUAGCCCCAAAUAAGCAUUGUCCUUUAAAAGAGUCUACCUGGUAAUGGUGCCUCUUUACAGCAAUGGAAACCCUGACUUAGACAGAAGUUGGCCCCAGGAAUGGGGUAUUUUGUGAGUGACUACGAUUGAGAAAUGAAGGUCAUACCUGUGAUCCAGAUCACGAGGCUGAAAGACACAUGCUUUUCAUACUGAUCUUGAGGAAUAAUGGCCAUGAAGAGUUUUGGCCCAGGCAUGGUGGUAUACAUCUUUAAUUCCAGGAGACAGGGACAAGCAAAUCUUUCAAUUCAAGGCCAGCCUGGGACAGACAAAAUUCUACAUAAAGAAAAACUUAAGUCCAAGUAUGAUGGUAUCUGCCUUUGAACGCAGAAUUCAGGAGACCCAUGCAGAUCUCUGACUUCAAGGUCAACCUACAUAGCAAAAUGUCAGCCAGCCAAGCUUAAACAGUGAAGGAGUUGGAAAACAGAAAGCUUAUAUAUAAUAAUGUAGUAGAAAUAGUUGGGUUUAUUCCAAGUCUAGCAAGCAGCAGAACUCAGUAGGUUCAGCCAUGUAGCUCUGGCUUUAGGAUUAAAAAAAAUAAAAGAAAAUACUGGGAAAAUUGAUGAUGGUUAGCUGGAAUUAAGAAAUUAUUUGGUGAUUAAAAAGAGAGCAGGAUUACUGAAGGGAUAUCUUGGAAUUGUUUCCUGAAAGCACAAAGAAACUGACACUGAGAUAGCCAAGAUUGUACUUUCUGCAGCAGCUGGAUUUGAUAAUGUGUAUGAAUCAACCAGGUUAAACUGGUUUUGAAGGUAUGAGAGGUUCAUGGAAAUCAACUGAGGCUUGGAAUUAUGAGCGAGACCAGAGAAAGCCACUGGCGAAGGUACAGCCUUGUUUAUAAUUGAAGACCCAGGACUGAAGAGGUCAUGCGAAGAAGUUGAGGUUUGGCACACACACACACAAAGAAUCUAUGAGAUACUAUUGUAGUAUCUAGUAAAGUCUCGUUGCAGCAGAAACUCUCAGUGUAUUGGAUAUUCUAGUACCAUAGAAUGAUCACCCAGAACAGCGGCAGCAGUGAAGUGGAGUUCCCCAGAGCCUAGAGCUCUACAGAUGUAAAGCUGUGACGCAAGCCUGUUGGAGCAUCUUAGAAGAGCAUAUGUGGAUCCCAGAAAUUGGAACAAGAAGCUGUAACACUGAGUUUCCUUUGAGAAAAGAUGUUUGAGAUGUCACAGCCAUGGUAUAUAUUCUGAGGAAAGCUGCUAACUGUGGAAAACUACAUUGAAUUGUGAUGCAGUCAACAAAGCAUAAAGGAACUGGUCAUUAGACAUGGGGAUACUGAGUUUGGAGUUUGCCUAGCUGGUUUUUGACCUUGUUUUGGGCCAGCAUUUUCUCACAAUGGAAUUUUGGAAUGGUAUUGUAUAUCUUAUGAUAGAGAAGUUA